This 484-nucleotide ribosomal RNA is filed under the name uncultured bacterium. RNAcentral describes it as "partial 16S ribosomal RNA". It matches the Rfam family "Bacterial small subunit ribosomal RNA", at positions 30 to 507 of the family's 1533-position model. The record is from RNAcentral.
AUUGAACGCUGGCGGCAGGCCUAACACAUGCAAGUCGAGCGGAUGAAGGGAGCUUGCUCCUGGAUUCAGCGGCGGACGGGUGAGUAAUGCCUAGGAAUCUACCUGGUAGUGGGGGAUAACGUCCGGAAACGGGCGCUAAUACCGCAUACGUCCUGAGGGAGAAAGUGGGGGAUCUUCGGACCUCACGCUAUCAGAUGAGCCUAGGUCGGAUUAGCUAGUUGGUGGGGUAAAGGCCUACCAAGGCGACGAUCCGUAACUGGUCUGAGAGGAUGAUCAGUCACACUGGAACUGAGACACGGUCCAGACUCCUACGGGAGGCAGCAGUGGGGAAUAUUGGACAAUGGGCGAAAGCCUGAUCCAGCCAUGCCGCGUGUGUGAAGAAGGUCUUCGGAUUGUAAAGCACUUUAAGUUGGGAGGAAGGGCAGUAAGUUAAUACCUUGCUGUUUUGACGGUACCAACAGAAUAAGCACCGGCUAACUUCGUG